AAGGAGACAAUAUUCAUCUUCCCCUCGAUUCGAACACUGAACUAGCGACGAAGCGACAACAACCCCCAUCUCCGGCCUUCAUCAUCUUCUUCUUCUUCUCUUCCCUCCCUUUUCCCUCUGCUCCCCGCUUUGUCGUCGCCGCUGCAACGGCGGAUUUGUACCCAGGGCUCGGCAGCGACAAAACCCCAUAAGAUCUCCCGCUACGGAUCUCUCUCUCUCUCUCUCUCUCUCUUUCUCUCCCAUUAUUUCUCCUCUUUAUUUCUAAGUUCAAACACCUCUCCUUCCCCUACUCUCGAUUUGAACUUCACCGCCGCAGCUGCAACUUCCAGCGACAGCGGUGAUGUUCCCUCUAUACCUCUCUCAUUUUCUCACAACCUCUCAUCAUUCCCCCUCAUUCUCUCAUUGUUUUCCCACUCUUUUCAUGAUCCCCCAUCCUCUGUUCUUUCUUUAUCGUAUCUCCACCCGAACCACCAAUCUCCACCGUUUUCCGCUGUGACAACCUGAUCAAACUGCCAUUUCCAACAACGAAUUCAACCCCCCUCCACCUCUGGUGGUGGAACUCAUCUCCAGUAUCCUGAAAUCGACACAGAUCUUCUCUGUUUUCGUCACUAAUCUCAUGAUCAAGCUCCGUGAAGUUUGAAGAAGAGUGAUGUGCACCCGUAGCAAAUCCGCCUUCCCACUUCCCUGCCUCAUCAAUUCAUUAUAAGGCCCAAAUCCGAUCAGGAAAGGGAAAACUGAUGGAGUCGGUGAUGAAGUUCCACCAAAUCGGCUUCUGUAGGCUCUGUACUCUCACCCAGUUCUGUCAUAGAUUUUCCUUGGUUGUGCAAACUAAGGAAUCUCCAGGAGUUGGAUCUUAGUGGCAACGAUUUCGUGGGUAGUCUCAACCAUUGUUUAGGAAAUUGACAUCCCUUCACGCAUUGGAUCUUUCUUACAAUCAAUUUGAAGGAAGUAUUGACACAUCAAUCAUUACUGGCCUCACUUCUGUUGAAUACCUUUCUCUUUCACAUACUUGGUUCCAAGGCUCAUUUUCAUUUCAUUCAUUCGCUAACCUUCCAAUUGAAGUCUCUUAUCGCUUCCAUUUCCAUGUUUUCUAAAACAACAAUCCUAGAAUGAAAGUUCAAAUCUAUCUAGAUUUUGGGC
This is a long non-coding RNA of Nelumbo nucifera (sacred lotus), 1140 nucleotides long. RefSeq lists it as uncharacterized. Lineage: Eukaryota; Viridiplantae; Streptophyta; Magnoliopsida; Proteales; Nelumbonaceae. The record is from RefSeq and is a predicted model, not a curated record.